This 330-nucleotide small nuclear RNA is filed under the name Neotoma lepida (desert woodrat). Its description in RNAcentral is "7SK RNA". It matches the Rfam family "7SK RNA". From Rfam's summary of the family: 7SK was discovered as an abundant small nuclear RNA in the mid-70s but a possible function has only recently been suggested. Two independent studies have found that 7SK RNA binds the CDK9/cyclin T complex (known as elongation factor P-TEFb). Lineage: Eukaryota; Metazoa; Chordata; Mammalia; Rodentia; Cricetidae. The record is from Rfam by way of RNAcentral.
GGGUGAGUGAUCUGGCUGCAGCAUCUUUCCUUUUGUUGAUCGCUGGAGUUGACUUGGCUGAUCUGGCUGGCGAGGCUGGUGUUGCCUUCCUCUCCUGAAGUUGUGGGCUGGCUUGAAGAGGACCAGUUUCCCUGAAUAGAGGCGGCUCAGCCUUCAGUCAAGUGUAUACGAGUAGCUGCAGUCUGCUGCUAGAACCUCCAAUCAAGCUCUUACAUUCAUUAUCUUGGGGAUUAGGAUUUCAGUAUAAAAUUUAGAGGGGAAGCAAACAUUUAACCCGUUAUAAUUAACAUCUUAUUAUAGGCUGAGCAGUGGUGGUGCACGCCUUUAAUC